AUAAAUGUACAUAGGUUUAAUCACACUUCAGAUAAGAUACUCAUAUCAUUUUCCAUAGAUAAUCAAGCUGAAUCAAUUUCCCUUUUUCAGUUAACAUUUGUCUGCCAGAACGUAAAGGUGGGUCAAACCAUUGACAAGCCCCAGGAACUUAGAUCCGAUAACUGUGAUAAUAUGGAAAAGAAGAUCGAAAUUCGAAUUCGAAGAAGUCCAAAAGCUCACAGCCCACGGGCGACUCGGCGACUAAAUAAAUAUUACCGAAUUAAGGGAGCGCCCCUCCAGCCUUCAUCCUCCAGCCACCAGCUCUGCUCGUACUUUACAAUAUAUGUAUGUAUAUUAAAAUAUUUCUAUGCUAACACUUUUUGUUUUUUUUUUUGUUUUUUUUUUGUAUUUUUUUGCACACUUUCCCGGCUACAUAAACCAUAUCUUAUUCAUACAAAACAAAUACUUAAGACUACGUAUUCGGAUGCUGCAUUUUUGGCUAGUAUUUAAGCUAAAAACAAGAACAAUUAAAGGAGAAGGCAAUUACAAUCCUUACCAAGAUAUCCCCCCGCCCAACUGAAAUAAACGAAUACCCUUAGGUGCUAUACAAUCAUCACGUGUAACGGACUCUGUGGGUGGCAAAGCGAAGGACAAAGGACAUACUCCAGCGGCAUUCGAUCACACACAAGCACACACCUUAUCCGUAUAUGUAUUUAGGCCUAGGUUAACAGGUUUUUUUUGGUUUUUUUGAGUGUUAUAGAUGCUCCGCGAGUCAAGAACAGCUAAAAUCAACCGCUGAACAAAAGGUAUACUAGACACAAUUCAGUUAUUGGAGAUAUACAUAUUAGUACAGACAAGACAAGAACAGUUGUUGCUUACGUUAUGCUAUUUUACGAGUAUAUUCUAUAAUAUUUGUAAUAA
Molecule: long non-coding RNA, 900 nt
Organism: Drosophila miranda
Lineage: Eukaryota; Metazoa; Arthropoda; Insecta; Diptera; Drosophilidae
Exons: 2
Source: RefSeq, a predicted model, not a curated record